This 93-nucleotide microRNA precursor is filed under the name Branchiostoma floridae (Florida lancelet). RNAcentral describes it as "mir-2060 microRNA precursor family". It matches the Rfam family "mir-2060 microRNA precursor family". The record is from Rfam by way of RNAcentral. Lineage: Eukaryota; Metazoa; Chordata; Leptocardii; Amphioxiformes; Branchiostomatidae.
GUUUGCCUGUAUUUGGAUAGUGUUCAGCACCAAGGAAAGGCAUGUUUUCCUUUGUGUGGAUGGUGUUCAGCACCAAGGACAGGCCUUUUACCU